This 588-nucleotide ribosomal RNA is filed under the name Triticum aestivum (bread wheat). RNAcentral's name for it is "partial small subunit ribosomal RNA". The record is from RNAcentral. Lineage: Eukaryota; Viridiplantae; Streptophyta; Magnoliopsida; Poales; Poaceae.
AUGACUAUAAGGAACCAACGAUUCUCUCUUCUUAAACAACCUAUAUACUCCACACUUAACAAGCAUUUGAUAGAUUAUCCAACCCUGAGCAAUCUUAGUUAUUGGUGGGGGUUCGGUUUGUUAGCGGGUAUUUGUUUAGUCAUUCAGAUAGUGACUGACGUUUUUUUAGCUAUGCAUCACACACCUCAUGUGGAUCUAGCUUUCAACAACGUAGAACACAUUAUGAGAGAUGUUGAAGGGGGCUGGUUGCUCCGUUAUAUGCAUGCUAAUGGGGCAAGUAUGUUUCUCAUUGUGGUUCACCUUCAUAUUUUUCAUGGUCUAUAUCAUGCGAGUUAUAGCAGUCCUAGGGAAUUUGUUCGGUGUCUCGGAGUUGUCAUAUUCCUAUUAAUGAUUGUGACAGCUUUUAUAGGAUACGUACCACCUUGGGGUCAGAUGAGCUUUUGGGGAGCAACAGUAAUUACAAGCUUAGCUAGCGCCAUACCAAUAGUAGGAGAUACCAUAGUGACUUGGCUUUGGGGUGGUUUCUCCAUGGACAAUGCCACCUUAAAUCGUUUUUUAGUCUCCAUCAUUUACUCCCCCUUAUUUUAG